Molecule: transfer RNA, 77 nt
Filed under: Clostridioides sp.
Lineage: Bacteria; Bacillati; Bacillota; Clostridia; Peptostreptococcales; Peptostreptococcaceae
Description: tRNA-Arg
Rfam family: tRNA
About the family: Transfer RNA (tRNA) molecules are approximately 80 nucleotides in length. Their secondary structure includes four short double-helical elements and three loops (D, anti-codon, and T loops). Further hydrogen bonds mediate the characteristic L-shaped molecular structure. tRNAs have two regions of fundamental functional importance: the anti-codon, which is responsible for specific mRNA codon recognition, and the 3' end, to which the tRNAs corresponding amino acid is attached (by aminoacyl-tRNA synthetases). tRNAs cope with the degeneracy of the genetic code in two manners: having more than one tRNA (with a specific anti-codon) for a particular amino acid; and 'wobble' base-pairing, i.e. permitting non-standard base-pairing at the 3rd anti-codon position.
Source: RNAcentral
GGGUGCGUAGCUCAGUUGGAUAGAGCAAUGCCCUUCUAAGGCAUGUGUCCGGGGUUCGAAUCCCUGCGCACUCACCA